AUCCAUCUGACGAGUCAUAAAUAGGAUGAAAUGCGCAUCCGGGAU
Molecule: non-coding RNA, 45 nt
Organism: Schistosoma mansoni
Lineage: Eukaryota; Metazoa; Platyhelminthes; Trematoda; Strigeidida; Schistosomatidae
Source: Rfam